RNAcentral lists this ribosomal RNA (462 nucleotides) under uncultured bacterium. RNAcentral's name for it is "partial 16S ribosomal RNA". It matches the Rfam family "Bacterial small subunit ribosomal RNA", at positions 28 to 507 of the family's 1533-position model. The record is from RNAcentral.
GACGAACGCUGGCGGCGUGCUUAACACAUGCAAGUCGAGCGGAAAGGCCCUUCGGGGUCCUCGAGCGGCGAACGGGUGAGUAACACGUGAGUAACCUGCCCCAGACUUUGGGAUAACCCUCGGAAACGGGGGCUAAUACCGGAUACGACACAGCUUCGCAUGGGGUCUGUGUGGAAAGUUUUUCGGUUUGGGAUAGGCUCGCGGCCUAUCAGCUUGUUGGUGGGGUGAUGGCCUACCAAGGCGAAGACGGGUAGCCGGCCUGAGAGGGCGACCGGCCACACUGGGACUGAGACACGGCCCAGACUCCUACGGGAGGCAGCAGUGGGGAAUAUUGCACAAUGGGCGGAAGCCUGAUGCAGCGACGCCGCGUGAGGGAUGACGGCCUUCGGGUUGUAAACCUCUUUCAGCAGGGACGAAGCGUAAGUGACGGUACCUGCAGAAGAAGCGCCGGCCAACUACGUG